AGCACACUAGGGUUUGAGACACCGCAUCUGUGAUGGUGAUCAUGAAGAAAGGUAGAGACGCUGCGGCUGAACAUCAGAUUUCUGUCCACGACGGAGGGUUUGAUCUCUCUGUGAAGGUCACCUGUUUUGAUGUUUACCAGUUCUUUCUGCGUCUCUUGUUUUAUACAUGGCUUAUGGGGAUGGAGGUUUUGCUGGGAAGGGGUUUGAAGGCACUUGAAGAGGACCUUAGUGAGAACAGCUGGAGCAGGGCUGGAGACCAUUCUCGUUGCACGCUGUGCACUUCAGGGCUUUGAAGGAGUCAGUGAAGCAGUUGCGAAACACAGACAUUUUGCUGCCAUGGCACAUAGGGCACGGGACAAAGGCAUAUCCCCCACACGUCUGGCAUGUGUCGGAGUGCUGAACCCUCUACCAUCAGACAAAGAAACAGAGACAAGAAUGUGAGUGCAUUUGAAUGAAAUACCUGACCCAUGUACACAUUCUCUUGGAGAUUCAAUCUGAGUGAUGCUUUAUUUAUUUAAUAAAAUAAGACAAAUGCAAGCUUGACUUUAUCGAUCAUUUUGGGAUGUUCGGCACACUGGUUAUGUAAAUGCACAAUAAUAUUUUGAGCUUGCUAUUAUUAGUACUUUUAUUUUGAAAUCAUUUGCAAUCAUUGAGGGGACCCAAUUUGACAGGAAGAUGUAACUAUUUUACAUAGUGGAGAUUUCUUAUGAACCUAUUCAAUGUCAAUCAUACGAAAAACAAUUUUUAGGAAAAAGUAAGCAUGAAGGUCCACUCCUAAAUGGUAUGAGAUUGCAUAAAUUCAUAUGAGUUUUUGAAAAUGUAGCGUAGUUACAAAUUUGCCUCAAGAUUAUGUUGAAAUUAUUGACAUUCAUUAUAUUUGAGAAACCACUGUAUAGCAAAUUGUGCCUGCCAAAUGCAUACAUGUAAUGUAAAUAAUAUUAAUCACUGAUAAAUAAUGCAUGUGUAUGUGUAAAAAGCUAUAAUGAACUGUAAUAAUAAACCUUUCUUGUCACAAA
Molecule: long non-coding RNA, 1016 nt
Organism: Carassius carassius (crucian carp)
Lineage: Eukaryota; Metazoa; Chordata; Actinopteri; Cypriniformes; Cyprinidae
Exons: 3
Source: RefSeq, a predicted model, not a curated record